GAGAUGUUGCAUUUUCUAUCCGUGCUACAGCCUGAGCUGAGAAGGUACACCAGACUUCAAGGCCAGUGUACAUGGGGAGCCCGGCCAUCCUCACAAAACAAACACUCAGCACAUGUCACGCUGGGGGCAGCACAGCGGGGGAGCUGUCUGGAGGUCUCCUCCUGAAAUGCUGGUUGCCUAGCAACAGGAU
Unclassified non-coding RNA from Capra hircus (goat), 190 nucleotides. The record is from Ensembl. NCBI's taxonomy places the organism in Eukaryota, Metazoa, Chordata, Mammalia, Artiodactyla, Bovidae.